This 409-nucleotide ribosomal RNA is filed under the name bacterium. RNAcentral's name for it is "partial 16S ribosomal RNA". It matches the Rfam family "Bacterial small subunit ribosomal RNA", at positions 355 to 776 of the family's 1533-position model. The record is from RNAcentral.
UUGGGAAUAUUGCACAAUGGGCGAAAGCCUGAUGCAGCGACGCCGCGUGAGGGAUGACGGCCUUCGGGUUGUAAACCUCUUUCAGCAGGGACGAAGCGCAAGUGACGGUACCUGCAGAAGAAGCACCGGCUAACUACGUGCCAGCAGCCGCGGUAAUACGUAGGGUGCAAGCGUUGUCCGGAAUUACUGGGCGUAAAGAGUUCGUAGGCGGUUUGUCGCGUCGUUUGUGAAAACCAGCAGCUCAACUGCUGGCUUGCAGGCGAUACGGGCAGACUUGAGUACUGCAGGGGAGACUGGAAUUCCUGGUGUAGCGGUGAAAUGCGCAGAUAUCAGGAGGAACACCGGUGGCGAAGGCGGGUCUCUGGGCAGUAACUGACGCUGAGGAACGAAAGCGUGGGUAGCGAACAGG